Non-coding RNA from Lactuca sativa (garden lettuce), 3055 nucleotides. NCBI's taxonomy places the organism in Eukaryota, Viridiplantae, Streptophyta, Magnoliopsida, Asterales, Asteraceae. The record is from RefSeq and is a predicted model, not a curated record.
UCCUCUCUGAGUCUCCCUUGUUCUUCUAUUGAUGCCUCCAUCUUUUUCCAUCGAUGCUAAUCUUUGAAUUAGCUAGAAGGAAACCCUAGGGCCUUCAUCUUUACCUACAUCCAACAACUCCAACCCUUCUUCGUUUGUCGAACAUAACUCGGGCUUUAAUCUGCAAGAAAACCUCAACUGCAUCCUCUACAUGAAAAAAACCCCUAAUUAGCAGCCACAUGUUGAUGUUAGGUACCCUUGAGAUGAAAGCCUCAUUUUGAUGUAGAGAUCCCCUUGGGCUCUAAUGUUAGGGUCGAUUUCUCAUACAUUUAGUUCUUACAUCCCCUCUCACCAAACCCUUAGCAUCCCAAAAUAACCCUAGUCUUCCGUUCUUUCAUCUUAGUGACUAGGUUACCGUCGACAUUACCUCAAGUGUUUUCAAUUGUUGAGUUCGGCUGCCACAAAUACGCUCUGUGUUUUCUCUUUGCUCCUACUAAUGGUUUGAACUAAGGUAUUGUUACAAUUUUAUUUUCUCCUCUGCCCAUAGGAGAAAAGGAAGGCACAAUUCGAUUUGGGUAUUAUCUCUUUGCUCCUACUAACGAUCGUAUUCUCCAAUUUGCAAUGAAAACGAAGGCACAAUUCGAUUUGGGUAUAAUCACCGCCUACUUGAGCCCUAAUUUUCGAUUUUCGUUAUCGUACCUCUACUUUCUUCUAUGUUUUUUAUUUUGGAGUCGUGAAGGACCAACCCUACCAGAAGAGUCUGUAUUGGAUUCGAUUUUUGGUGUUGAAGGCUUAAUUUGGGGUUUUUCAACACAUGUCUAAAACAUUAGCAGAUGGAAAUCUGUCUUUGGACAAAAGAGGGGAAUAUUGAAGAACAUUCUCAGCUCCUUUGUGAAAUCACCCCGGAACAACACUUAUGGAGCCCAAGUAUCAAGAACCCACAAAGCACUAGCUUUUUUUAACAUACUUAAAGAUCAUAUACAGGCUGUUUCAAUAGCCAAUCUUGGAGACAUUCAAGAUACACACUCCUCCAAGCUUAGGCUAACGAAUUCUACUGAGGUAUACGAGGCACUUGAACAUCGAUUAGUUAUUGCAGAAGCUGCUCAGAGGCUGAGACUUCCUUUAAUUUCAAAAGAUGGUGAGGUUCAUGAGGAAGAAAUAGAGAAAUGGAGUGGAUUUUCAAGUAAUUACACAAACAUUAGCCCUGAAUCUGCAGUUGGUGGUGUUCCUAAUUGAUUUCUUGGAAUAACACCUGCUUAUUUAUGGCAAACUCGGGACCAACAUGCACCAUUACCUAUGGUAACUUCAUUUCAUCAUGUCUUUUUUCCCCUCAAGUUUAGUUUUUUUUAUAUAUAUAAUAUUGAUCAACUGUAGUAGGAUGUGGGAGAAUACCAAAUGCCACUUCUUCGUGAGAUUGAGAUCCAUUUAAAGGCUAAAUGUGACAUGUUGGCUGAUGCUUUUAUUGAUGAUUUGGGUCAGCCUCUUGAUACUCAAAAGAAGCUAAAGAGGCGUAUCUAAGAAGAGAUCAUGCAACUGCACAAGAAUUUUCCUUAAAGGCUAUACAAGAAUGGAGUGCUUCAGAAUAACUUAAUGCAAAAGCAGCAAAUGAAUUUUUAGCAAUUAGAAACUGUGAAAAUGAUGGUUGGAAAUUGGAUUUGCAUGGUCUUCAUGCAUCAGAAGCAGUGCAAGUUUUACAACAACACUUACUCAAGAUCGAAGCUCAUGUGUCAACAAACCCUAAACAGCAACAACAACAAUUAUCUAAGUGAAGAUUGUUAGAAGUCAUUACAGGGAAAGGUAGUUAUAGCCGGCACAAGCAACACUUCCAAUAGCAACAAAAAGCUUUCUCACUGAAAAAGGUAGGCUUGACAUUGGAGAUUUAAAAUCGGUUCAAUUGUGUACAAUAUUAUUGAUUUGACAAAGCUUCAGACAAAAAUGAUUUUCAGCAUUUGAUUUGUGAUUUACGAUUAUGAGAAAUGGAAGAUCUGUUGUAUAAGGAGCUAUGGAAGGCAUGUGCGGUUCCACUAGUAUAUGUUCCAAGAGAUGGAGAAUGAGUUUUCUACAUGGAGCAAUUAGAGGAAUCCAACAAUCAGGGAAUCAAUUAGAGUAUUCCUCAGUUCAAUCUAAAAAUCAAAGAUUCUAUGUCGUGUUGUUUAUACUCGGCUUCUGGCUGAACAAGAUACAUAUGAAGUUUAUGCUCAAAUCACUCUACUUCCAGAAGCAGAUCAAAGUGAUCCUACUGGUCUUGAUAAAUGCAUUGACGACCCUCCAAAGGCAAGUAUCCACUCUUUCUGCAAAGUCUUAACAGCUUCAGACAUAAGAACUCAUGGUGGUUUUUCAGUGCUCAGAAAAAACGCAAAUGAAUGCCUUCCCACAUUGAACAUGUCGCAACCUCCUCCUACUUAAGAAGUUGUAGUUAAAGAUCUUCAUGGGACUGAUCAACCCAAUUGGAUUCACAUUUCUAGAAAAGAAAACACCAACACUCCAUGGCUAAUAAGAAUAAAAAAAUAAAGAUAUGAGGAAAAAAAGGUAAAAUAAACUCGUAUGUAUGGAUAUGAUUUGUAUGGUAAUUAAAUUUAGAGUGUAUGUAUGUUUUGGUUUGCAUGCAGUCUUUGUUUGGCAGCUUAGACAAACUUUAUAGCACCAGAUCGUCCAUGUCACUCUUGGUAAAACAAAUUUAGAGUGUACUUCUUCCAUUCAUGUUAGUAAUUUGUCAUUAUGAUGUGUUUUUUCUUGUGCAAUUUUAUUUUUAGGACGUAUUUUACUUUAUUAAAUGUCUAAAGUUACAGGACAUGAUUAUGGGCACAUCAUGGAACAUUUUAGGGCAGUUGUUGAUUUUCCUCUUGGUGAUCCAUCAAUGAAGUGGCCAACUUGCAUCAUGUAAUAACAUUUUAGGGGAAGAUGUAGGUAUAUGUUUUCUUAAUGAAUAAUGUAAUCAUAUGUACGAAUAUGAAAUAAAGUUUGUUAUUUUGUAUGUGCUAAUCAUGUAUAGGUAGAAAACAACCUCUAUUGACUUGUUUUAUCUUUCCAUGGAUCGAUUAUUUGUAUGACAUUAAAUUUUAUGCAAUGGAUUGUA